ACUGGUACGCGACACGGACACGACUCCUACGGGAAGCAGCAGUGAGGAAUAUGGACAAUGGGGCGCAAGCCUGAUCCAGCCAUGCCGCGUGGCAGGAUGACGGUCUAUGGAUUGUAAACUGCUUUGAUACGAGGAAGAAACACUACUUCGUGAAGUAGCUUGACGGUAUGGUAAGAAAUAAGGAUCGGCUAACUCCGUGCCAGCAGCCGCGGUAAUACGGAGGAUCCAAGCGUUAUCCGGAAUCAUUGGGUUUAAAGGGUCCGUAGGCGGUUUAAUAAGUCAGUGGUGAAAGCCCAUCGCUCAACGGUGGAACGGCCAUUGAUACUGUUAAACUUGAAUUAUUAGGAAGUAACUAGAAUAUGUAGUGUAGCGGUGAAAUGCUUAGAGAUUACAUGGAAUACCAAUUGCGAAGGCAGGUUACUACUAAUGGAUUGACGCUGAUGGACGAAAGCGUGGGUAGCGAACAGGAUUAGAUACCCUGGUAGUCCACGCCGUAAACGAUGGAUACUAGCUGUUGGAAGCAAUUUCAGUGGCUAAGCGAAAGUGAUAAGUAUCCCACCUGGGGAGUACGUUCGCAAGAAUGAAACUCAAAGGAAUUGACGGGGGCCCGCACAAGCGGUGGAGCAUGUGGUUUAAUUCGAUGAUACGCGAGGAACCUUACCAAGGCUUAAAUGUAGAUUGACCGGUUUGGAAACAGAUCUUUCGCAAGACAAUUUACAAGGUGCUGCAUGGUUGUCGUCAGCUCGUGCCGUGAGGUGUCAGGUUAAGUCCUAUAACGAGCGCAACCCCUGUUGUUAGUUGCCAGCGAGUCAAGUCGGGAACUCUAACAAGACUGCCAGU
RNAcentral lists this ribosomal RNA (840 nucleotides) under Flavobacterium sp. 4cultural_106. Its description in RNAcentral is "bacterial SSU rRNA". It matches the Rfam family "Bacterial small subunit ribosomal RNA", at positions 312 to 1156 of the family's 1533-position model. Lineage: Bacteria; Pseudomonadati; Bacteroidota; Flavobacteriia; Flavobacteriales; Flavobacteriaceae. The record is from RNAcentral.